GAUGAACGCUGACAGAAUGCUUAACACAUGCAAGUCAACUUGAACUUCGGUUUGGGUGGCGGACGGGUGAGUAACGCGUAAAGAACUUGCCUCACAGCUAGGGACAACAUUUGGAAACGAAUGCUAAUACCUGAUAUUAUGAUUUUAGGGCAUCCUAGGAUUAUGAAAGCUAUAUGCGCUGUGAGAGAGCUUUGCGUCCCAUUAGCUAGUUGGAGAGGUAACGGCUCACCAAGGCGAUGAUGGGUAGCCGGCCUGAGAGGGUGAUCGGCCACAAGGGGACUGAGACACGGCCCUUACUCCUACGGGAGGCAGCAGUGGGGAAUAUUGGACAAUGGACCAAGAGUCUGAUCCAGCAAUUCUGUGUGCACGAUGAAGUUUUUCGGAAUGUAAAGUGCUUUCAGUUGGGAAGAAAAAAAUGACGGUACCAACAGAAGAAGUGACGGCUAAAUACGUGCCAGCAGCCGCGGUAACACGUAUGUCACAAGCGUUAUCCGGAUUUAUUGGGCGUAAAGCGCGUCUAGGUGGUUAUAUAAGUCUGAUGUGAAAAUGCAGGGCUCAACUCUGUAUUGCGUUGGAAACUGUGUAACUAGAGUACUGGAGAGGUAAGCGGAACUACAAGUGUAGAGGUGAAAUUCGUAGAUAUUUGUAGGAAUGCCGAUGGGGAAGCCAGCUUACUGGACAGAUACUGACGCUGAAGCGCGAAAGCGUGGGUAGCAAACAGG
Molecule: ribosomal RNA, 722 nt
Filed under: uncultured Fusobacterium sp.
Lineage: Bacteria; Fusobacteriati; Fusobacteriota; Fusobacteriia; Fusobacteriales; Fusobacteriaceae
Description: bacterial SSU rRNA
Rfam family: Bacterial small subunit ribosomal RNA
Source: RNAcentral